GGGCUCUUGGCACAGGGGUAGCGCGCACGCUUUGCAUGCGUGAGGUCGUGGGUUCAAAUCCCACAGUGUCCA
RNAcentral lists this transfer RNA (72 nucleotides) under Laccaria bicolor S238N-H82. RNAcentral's name for it is "tRNA-Ala (TGC) (tRNA-Ala-TGC-2-1, tRNA-Ala-TGC-2-2)". It matches the Rfam family "tRNA". From Rfam's summary of the family: Transfer RNA (tRNA) molecules are approximately 80 nucleotides in length. The record is from RNAcentral. Lineage: Eukaryota; Fungi; Basidiomycota; Agaricomycetes; Agaricales; Hydnangiaceae.